CUUAUUCCUGACAAAUUUAUAGGAUGUAGAGGGAAAACUCGGUCAUCAUGGUGCUCGAAUGAGACACUUUUGAGAGUGAAGGAAAAUCUGGAUUAUCUGAAAGACAUGACAAAACUAUACUUUGAAGAAAACACCAGGGAAGAUGUCUCUAAUGACACCAUUUGAUGUGUGUAUAAGAACGUAAUAAGGGGUCAUUUGAUAAACUUAGGCUUUGAAAUUAAAAAGAGAAAAGGUCGCUCCUUAAAACCAGUUGUAUGUUGAGCUCAG
Molecule: non-coding RNA, 267 nt
Organism: Pelobates cultripes (western spadefoot toad)
Lineage: Eukaryota; Metazoa; Chordata; Amphibia; Anura; Pelobatidae
Source: the annotation of a GenBank genome assembly